AAGUUGCUUAGCAAUUUUUUUUGUGAAGCAAAUUAUGUGGUAGAUUCUGUUCACCCAAUUGUAUGCAUGGCUUGUCGAUUUUUGUUGCACUUGAUGUUUGUUGAUAGAUAACUAGGAAAGGUUUUAAUUUGAGAUGCUCUAUCAGAGAGCAGACUAAAUUUUGAUUGACUUCAGAAAGUGGUGAAGAAAACCUAUUUUCUGGUAGAAUUUUUAUGGAGGAAAAUUUAAAAGGCUUAUGGGGAUAUGAAACCAAAUGUGUGUUUAAGUGUGCUUGAAUUAUUGCAGGAUGACUCACCAUGAUUUUAAAGACUCUCUCAGGAAAUCUUGACAAAUCUCUAAAGUUGUAUUAUGCAAAUAUAAUGAUGGAGGUCAGUAAAGAGAGAAGAACGUACGAAUUGUUUCAGAUCUAAACAUAGAUACUUGCAUGAAGGCAAUUUCUGCCAAAGGAUGAAAAACUACCCUUAAAACAGAUCAUGUUUUAAAGGUCCUUGGACUCGAUAUCUGUGCUGACACAAUAGUGGGAGAUGAGAUGAGAAGAGGCAUCUCGGGAAGUCAAAAAAGGAGGCUGACUACAGGGAAUACACACAGCUAUCAAAUUCCAUGGAUAUUCAAAGAUGCUAUUUUCUCUAUUCCUACUAUUUUAUUUAUUAAGCAUAUCGAGCAUGAUAAUCUGAAGUUGUUGAGGAAGAACAGUGAAAGAAUUGAGCUGUAAGUGUUUGUAUUUCUUUCCAUUUUGGAAUUUUGAGAUUUGAAUUGUUGCCAAGUUUGAGUCUUUGUUAAUUUGCUUGUUGAAAGUUUGGUUUUUUUAUGGUGGUUUUAUGAGGUUUCAGCUCAAAAUUAGUGUAGGAAUGCUGUUCACUUAGAAGGAAUCUGCUGUUGUUAUAAUUGUU
Molecule: RNA transcript, 890 nt
Organism: Pistacia vera
Lineage: Eukaryota; Viridiplantae; Streptophyta; Magnoliopsida; Sapindales; Anacardiaceae
Gene name: pleiotropic drug resistance protein 3-like
Exons: 5
Source: RefSeq, a predicted model, not a curated record